RNAcentral lists this long non-coding RNA (507 nucleotides) under Ricinus communis (castor bean). RNAcentral's name for it is "long non-coding RNA (RCOM_LNC001245)". The record is from RNAcentral. Lineage: Eukaryota; Viridiplantae; Streptophyta; Magnoliopsida; Malpighiales; Euphorbiaceae.
AACACUGCCCCUAAGAUAUCCAGCCAAAGCUGCUAACUAAGGAAGCCUGCUUUAAUCACAACCUUCAUGGAUGAUAUAAUUCAAAAAAUUAGAGCCAAAAAAUUUCCUUAUCUAGGAUCAUGAUUAUGAUUAAGCAAGGUAAUAACUGAAAAGCCUCCUAAUUGUAUAAAUUAUCUAACUUUUACACAGACGAGCGCCACCAAAUCAGUAUUAUGGUGCAUGUUAAGCACAAGUACAAUCCAAAAUCACAAGUAAAAAAGGCCUUUCAAUUCAAAAAGGAUAAAAAAGAUUGUCGAAUAAAGCAUCAUCCAAUCAAUACCCAAGUUUCAUUGCUUUGAUGAAGUUGAUGGUCCAGACCCUGGGGGUGGAGGUCCAGACCCUGUGAGUGGAGGUCCGGACCCUGGAGGUGGAGGUCCAGAACUUGAAGAACCUGCAGCGGCAGUCCUGGGUAGUGGCAUAGAAUGCUGAUGCUGCUGGGUAGCUUGUGUAGCUGGUGGCAGCGGAGCU